RNAcentral lists this ribosomal RNA (383 nucleotides) under Pediococcus pentosaceus. RNAcentral's name for it is "bacterial SSU rRNA". It matches the Rfam family "Bacterial small subunit ribosomal RNA", at positions 85 to 462 of the family's 1533-position model. The record is from RNAcentral. Lineage: Bacteria; Bacillati; Bacillota; Bacilli; Lactobacillales; Lactobacillaceae.
CACGAAGUGAGUGGCGAACGGGUGAGUAACACGUGGGUAACCUGCCCAGAAGUAGGGGAUAACACCUGGAAACAGAUGCUAAUACCGUAUAACAGAGAAAACCGCAUGGUUUUCUUUUAAAAGAUGGCUCUGCUAUCACUUCUGGAUGGACCCGCGGCGUAUUAGCUAGUUGGUGAGGUAAAGGCUCACCAAGGCAGUGAUACGUAGCCGACCUGAGAGGGUAAUCGGCCACAUUGGGACUGAGACACGGCCCAGACUCCUACGGGAGGCAGCAGUAGGGAAUCUUCCACAAUGGACGCAAGUCUGAUGGAGCAACGCCGCGUGAGUGAAGAAGGGUUUCGGCUCGUAAAGCUCUGUUGUUAAAGAAGAACGUGGGUAAGAGU